RNAcentral lists this ribosomal RNA (378 nucleotides) under uncultured bacterium. RNAcentral describes it as "bacterial SSU rRNA". It matches the Rfam family "Bacterial small subunit ribosomal RNA", at positions 521 to 896 of the family's 1533-position model. The record is from RNAcentral.
UAAGACGUAGGGUGCUAGCGUUGUCCGGAUUUACUGGGCGUAAAGAGCGCGUAGGCGGUCUGUUAAGUGAGAAGUGAAAUCUCCAGGGCUCAACCCGGAAACUGCUUUUCAUACUGGCAGACUUGAGGGAAGCAGAGGUUUGUGGAAUUCCUGGUGUAGCGGUGAAAUGCGUUGAUAUCAGGAGGAACACCCAUGGCGAAGGCAGCAAACUGGGCUUCAUCUGACGCUGAGGCGCGAAAGCGUGGGUAGCAAACAGGAUUAGAUACCCUGGUAGUCCACGCCCUAAACGAUGGAUACUAGGCGUAAGAGGUAUCGACCCCUCUUGUGCCGCAGCUAACGCAUUAAGUAUCCCGCCUGGGGACUACGGCCGCAAGGUUG